This 1058-nucleotide small RNA is filed under the name Arabidopsis thaliana (thale cress). RNAcentral's name for it is "ATSL136540". The record is from RNAcentral. Lineage: Eukaryota; Viridiplantae; Streptophyta; Magnoliopsida; Brassicales; Brassicaceae.
AUCGUAUAGUUUUUGCAUGUGUGUUUCUGUGAUUUUCAUAAACUUGCUCGUUUUAGCUAUGAACUUGUGUUUCUGAUUCAAUGUCAAAGAAUCUCUUCAUUCGUCUGUUUUGGUAAUCUGAUCAAAAAUGUUAAUCAGAGCUUCUGCCAACUACAUCUGGUUUCAUUUCCUUAGCGCUUAAUGGUAGCUUGUAUCUUAAUGCAUGACAUCUAUGCUAGUGUAUCUUAAAUAGUGUAUCUUGGCUUGCGGUUCAGGAUAGAUUAUUAACGGGGGAACGUAUGCUGCAAUGGAACAGAGGCGUCUCAAGUUAUUGUGCGUUCUGCACAAACACUAUAGAGUCUCCCAACCAUCUUUUCUUCUCUUGUGUGUUACAGGGAAACCUGCGAUUCACAAGAACAAUCCAAAUCUCCAAUUAUCAUUCGAAACCAACAAUCAAUCGAUGUUCAUAAAACACCAAAUGAUUCAGCUAGCUCUCGAUGUGAGAGAAAUCUAGCACUUACAAAGGUUCUAGAGAAUUCUGAAGAUUACAGAUUAUUCGAUAAUGAAAGCAUGAGCAUAACAUGUUGCUCUUAUAUAAAAAGGUAAAGAAAGUAAACGUUAACCACGUUAAUAACGAUCGCCGUUAACGUCCAUUGCAUUGCCAGCUCGCCAGCUCGCCAGCUCACAAGUACUUUGCCUAACAUCCGACUUCACAUUGCCAGCUCGCCAGCUCGUCAGCUCACCAGCUCACCACACGUUAAUCCUGUAUCAAAUCUCCCCCCUUUCACAAAACCUUGACCUCAAGGUUCUAUGCUUCAAACUCAGGAAAUGUUUUCUGCAAAUCGAAGAGGAACUCCCAUGUAGCUUCUUCCAAAGGUUCAUUGCUCCAUUUCACCAACACUUUAGUGACAGCUUUUCCCUGACGAUUGACCAUUUUCCUUUCCACCACUUUCUCAGGUACUUUCUCAAAGACAUCUUGCAUCACUGAAGGCAAAUGAACUGUUGUAGAGACAUUGCCCACUAGCACCUUUAGCUGCGAAACAUGGAACACAGGAUGCACUUGAGAGUAAGAAGGAAGA